Molecule: non-coding RNA, 7001 nt
Organism: Monodelphis domestica (gray short-tailed opossum)
Lineage: Eukaryota; Metazoa; Chordata; Mammalia; Didelphimorphia; Didelphidae
Source: RefSeq, a predicted model, not a curated record
AGAGGAAAGAGUGUCACUCUUUCUGGGUCUUGGAGAGAAAGGGGGACCCCAAGGGGAAUUAGAGAAUGAGGGGAAUCCUCUAUGGUUACUGCAUCCGGGUUAUUGCGAGGGAGGUGAGGUUUUCUUCUCUAGAGGUCACUGCUUCCAGGUUACCGGAGGGAGAGAUGGAAGGAUUCUCCUGGGGAUCAGCUGGGCUUUAGGAGAUUUCUUGAGAGGAGGGUGGUAGGGCCGUGACGGCAAUUGGGUUUUAAUGGAAGUGAGACGCCACCCUCCACCCCGGAAGGAUCGGGAAUGGGAUAUCCCCUGGGGAGGUUAUUGAGAGUGAGGAACUGGGGGAAGAGGGUCGAAACGUCUAGAUUAGAGGGCAUGAGGUCCAUCUGGAAUUUAUCUAGUGGCAUCUGAGUUGUUGAAAGUGGGAACCGUCAGGGGAGUUACUUGGGUGUGAGAGACAGACACCCCCUCCCCCCAUGGGAGUCACUGAGAAUGAAGAGUUUCUGUAAAAUGUCAUUGCCUAGGGAUUACUGGGAAUAAGGGAGUCCUCUGGGAAUUAUUGCACUCAAGUCACAUAACAGUGAGAUCAGAAUGAGAUUUAAACAAACUACAUCCGUGGAUACUGAGAGAACAGUAGGCAGAUAUGAUUGUUGAAUUCCCAGAAUUUUUGAAAGUUUGGAAGAAUAGAAGGAAGUGGCACAGGAUUGGAAAAAGGAUUACAAAGGAAAGCAAAGGUUACCAAGAUGGAAUUUUCUUGCCACGAAAGUUGAUGGAUUCUGUGAAAUCAAAUCACCAAACCCUUGGGGGACCUCAGGGUAAGAACUUUUAAUGGAACUGGAGAGGGCACUAUAAAGGGCCUGGAGACAGAAAGAUCUCCAAUUAAAUUCUGCCUUAGACACUGGCAUUAUGACCCUUUUCUUUUUCUUAUGACUUUUCACUAUCUCUGACCUCCCAUAUCCAAUCUGUUGCCAAGCCUGUUGUCAUUGAAGUUCUGCCUCAUUUUCCAUAUUGGUAAAAUGGGGAUAAUUACACCUACCUUCUGGGGUUAUUGUAUUUCUCCAACAAGAUAACAAUUAUAAAGCAUUUUGCAAACCUUAAAAUGCUAUGUAAAUAACAACUAUUAUUAUUGUUGUUGUUAUAUUGAUAGACAGACAAGGCAUAUAUUAAGCACUCAUUCUCCUUGACCUCUUCACCAUCUUUGACACUGUUAAUCAGUGUCCUCCUUGGUAUCUCCUCUUUGUAGAUUUUUCAGUACACCCCUCUCUCCUGGUUCUUGUCCUACCUGUCUUACCACUCCUUUGUCUCCUUUGCUGGAUUCUCUUCUAGAUCAAGCCCUCUAGUUGUGCAUGUUCCUUAGGGCCCUAUCUUCAGCCCUCUUCUCUUUUACCUCUACACUACCUCACUUGAGCAUCUCAUCAGCUCCCGUGGAUUUUAUGACCACCUCUGUGCUGAUGAGUAUAAUGUCUUCUUUCCUGCCUUAGCCUCUCAGCUGACCUCCAAUCUCACAUCUUCAACUGUCUUUCAGACGUCUCUAACUGGAUGUCCACUAGACAUCCUAUAAACUCAAUGUAUCCAAAACAGAAUUCAUUCUCUUUCCCCCAAAUUCUACUUCUAUCUUACCUUCCCAGUUACAGAGAAGACAAGACCAGGCUCCCAGGCUAACAAUCUUGGACUUUUCACUAUCUCUGACCUCCCAUAUCCAAUCUGUUGCCAAGCCUGUUGAUUUCAUCUUUGCAGCAUCUCUUGAAUCAGCAGCCACCUUCUCUCCCUAGAGAGUGCCCACCACCCUAGUACAGGCCCCUCACAUUUGGAUUAUUGUAAUAGCCUGCUGGUGACUCUGCCUGCCUCAAGUCUCUUCCCUACUCCAGUCUCUCCUACAUCCAUCCACUGAAGUGAUUGUCCUAAAGUACAGGUCUCUUGCUCUUCUGUCUUGAAAGUUGUUACUAAGACAGAAAGUGAGGGUUAAUAAGGGGGGCAGGGCAUCUAGGUGGCACAACGGAGAGGGUCAGGCUUGGAGUCAGGAACACUUGGGUUCAUAUUUAGCCUGAACACUUCUUAGCUGUGUGAUCCUGGACAAGUCACUUAACUCAAUUUGCCUAGCCCUUGCCCUUCUGUCUUAGAAUUGUUACUGAGACAGAAAGUAAGGGUUUAAAGUACAUGAUCAUGCCACUUUCCCCCAGCUCAGUAAGCUCCAGUGCCUUCCUAUCACCUGCAGAAUUAAAUAGAAAAUUCUCUGUUUAACAUUCAAACUAGCCUCUUUCUACCUUUUCAGUCUUCUUAUUCUUCUAUCCAGUGACAAUAGCCUCCUGGUUGUCCCAUAAGCUUGACACUCCAUCUCUGAUAUUCCCCAUCCUGGAGUGCUUUUCCUUCUGCUCCACCAACUAACCUUCCUGGCUUCCAUUAAGUCCCAGCCAAAAUCCAGUCUUUAGCUGGAAGCCUUCCCCAACCUUUCUUAAUUCUAAUGCCUUCUCUCUGUUAAUGAUUUCCUGGUUAGCCUAUAUUUAGCUUGCUCUCUUUCCCUUUAGACCAUGAGCUCCUUGAGGGUAGGAACUGUCUUUUGCUUUUUUUUAUAUUCUAAGCACUUAACAUAGUGCCUGGUAUAUGGUAAGAGCUUAAUAAAUGUUUACCAGUUGAUUAGCAUAGAUUAAUGUUCCCACUCGUUUAUAAACUGUCACAUACACAUGUGUACGCACUGUCAUUCACAUACUUGCCCUCUUCCUCCAUACACACCCACUAGCCAUCCUCAUGUAUUUAAAUGUUUGUUACAUGGAAGGGAGAUUGAACUUGGCUUCAGAGGGCAGCAGUGGGGGCAGGCUGUGGAAAGGCAGCUUUAGACUGUUAGGAGAAGGGACUGCCUAAUAAUUAGAGCCAUCCUUGAAUGGAAUAGGCUGAAUCCCCACAUAACUGGAGCUCUUCGGUUGGAGACUAGAUUGAUCCUUUCUUAGAGAGUCCAAUAAGUCUUGGACUAUGACCUCUAAGGGCCUUGAUUGAGCACUGAGAAUCAGGGAUUAUUGGAACAUCGAUCAUCCCUAUAGCCAAGCAGUAUCUGGAUUUCCUGGAAUCAUCUUACAAGUUUUCUUUGUCCAUCAGGACAUCCUGGAGGCAGUAUAGAAGGCUUGCUGGCCUAGGCCUGAAGCCCUGGAUCUGCCCUUCAGUUUUUUUUACCCCCACUUAUCUGAGCCUUGGCUUGCUCCUUGGAACAUGAGGAAAUGGGUCCAACGUCCCUUCCAGCUCUGAGUCUUUGUUCCCCUGACUUCUUUGGGUGUAGGGGGCUUUCUGACAGAAAGGGCUCACUGAUGACAGACUGCUUCUGCUCUUGACUCAUUCCUCCUGUCCUUCUCUGGAGACUUCCCUGCCUGUGAGAAAACUUCCAUACUCCACUCCUUGUGUUGGUGAGUUCCCUAGUGCUGAAGAGACUAGAACUCAAACACACAGCAAUUAGGAAGAGAAGGAGAGAGCUUAGUGUAAUGUAUGUGUGUCAAGUCUCGGAGCAGCCUUCCCUUAGGACCACCACUGAAAUACUUCACUCCUCUUCCUGUUGUGGCCUGAAGACCGUCACAUCUGAGGUCUGGCAACGGAAAACUGGUUUUAUCCAAUCCAUCCCCCUCUGGUGAUUGUGACCCCAGGGAUCUCAUUUUAAGCCUUGACUCUUCCCUUGUGUCAUUAAAACUGUUCCAUAAUAAAGUUCUUUUACUUUAUGCAUUGGAGGCCUGUAUGACUCCUGUUUAAAACAAAACUUAAAGUCUUGAAAGUUCUGGAACAAGAGGCAGCUAGAUGGCCUCAGUGGAUUGAGAGCCAGGCUUAGAGAUGGGAGGUCCUGGGUUCAACUUUCACCUCAGACACUUCCUACCUAUGUGACCAUAGGCAAGUCACUUAACCCCAGUUGCAUUGGCCUUGCUGCUCUUCUGUCUUAGAACUGAUACUAAGACAGGAGGUAUGAGUUAUUUUAACACACACACACACACACAGAAAAUGCAGAAAUAGCCUGGGGUGACUGGUUUUCCUUAGGGCAGAAUUGGGAAUGGUGGGUAGAAGUUGCAGAGAGGCUCAGUAUGAAGGAAAUUCAAUUCGUUCCGUCAUUUUUCAUUCAUGCCCAACUUUUCAUGACCCCAUUUGGGAUUUUCAUGGCAAAAUCCUGGAAUGGUUUGCUGUUUCUUUCUCCAAAUUGUUAUUGCAGAUGAGGAAAGUUAAGUUAUAAAGGAAAUUAAGGAUCACAGGGCUAGGAAGUAUCUGAGGCUGGAUUUGAACUCAUGAAGAUGAGUCUUCCUGUUUCCAAGUCCAGUGCUCUAUCCACUUAGCUGCCUGUGAAAGGGAAGACUUAACACUAAUUGUUGCCUAGAGUAGAGUGAGUUACACACUUUGCACAGCUGUGGCUUCACCUCUGAUGCUUCUAGAGGAGAACCCUCUGUUGGCAAUGUUUCAAGUCAUUCCUGCUUGCUAUGAGUUGGCUCAUUUGCCUUCUCAGUUCCUUUGUGGGGAACAUCACUCCCUAGGGUCACUGUAGAAAAGCCCUUGCAUCUGGCUUCCAACUGUGGAUGGAGGGGUUUCUCUGAGGGAUGCACAUUACCCCCGCCAGGGUCCUCCACUCAGGGAUUUCCUUGUCCCCUCUCCAGUAGGCUUUCCGUCCUAGAGAUACUCUCUCCUUAGAGGCCUACUCUCCUGGCUGGUGAGUCUUAUACCUGGACCACUGUGCCCACUUCUCUAGGCUCUGCUCACUCUCCAAUCUUCUCUAGCUUUUCACCAGCAUCCCUUCUCAUUCCCCUUCAUGUAGAAUCUUUAUUAGGAUGGAAAAUUCUGGAAGGUAGGGAUUGUCUUGUUUCUUGCAAUUGUAUCCCCAGUGCCAGGCACAGAGCAGCUUUACAAAGCUAUAUGAAUCUUUUCAGGAGGUGGCAUCUGAGUUGGGCUCAAAAGGAAGGACCCUCCAGACAUGAGGAAUAAUGUGGGCCUAAGCAGAGGUGGGAGAGCAACAGGCAUAUUGUAGAGAGCCCUUGUAGUUGUGUGUUUUAGAGAGUAACGAAAUGUACCAGAUUUCAGAGCACUUUAAAUGCCAGACAAAGAUUAAAGCCCAGAUCUCCUGGCUCUGAGCCCCCUUUCCGGGUUCCAGGUCUUUUUCAUUGCACACAUAUGUACACUAUAGCCCGAGGCAAGAUAUGUUUCCUUUUGGGACCAGAACUUGCAGAUCCCAAUGUCAAAUGUAAGUUAGUUUGUUGUCAUCAUCAUUGUUUUUUGGUCAUGUCCAAUUCUUCAUGAUCCCAUUUGGUGGUUUUCUUGGCAGAGAUCCUGGAGUGGUUUGCCAUUUGCUUUCCAGUUCAUUUGAUAGAUGAGGAAACUGAGGCAAACAGGGUGAAGUGACUAGCCCAGGGUCACCUAGCUAGGAAGUGUUUGAGGCUGGAUUUGAAGAUGAGUCUUCCUGCCUCCACAUCUGGUGCCCCACCCAUUGAGCUACCUGGCUGCUCAAGUUGGUAUGUGGCAGUGACUGAGCAGUUAGUGGUUUGCUGGGUGAGAGCUGCCAUGUUGUAAUAAGAGCAUUACUUAGUUGAUUAUUUAAACUCAGGUAUGCUUCUUGAAUAUUUUAAAUUCCAGAUCUAAAUGGGAUGCUUCAGGGACAUGUUACAGUAGCCCCUGAUGCUAUUACUUCUGUGGGAUAUGCACUGCUUUAAAUAUAAACUGGGCCUGGGAUCUCUCCACAUCCUCAUAGCUGACAUGAGCUAUGCUCCCUUGGACAAGUCUCAUGACCCAUCUGAGCCCUUGUUUCCUCCUCUGUAAAAUGAGACGAUUGGACAAGACAAUUCAAAGGCCCUUUCCACUCUGGCAUGCUAUAAAGCUGGAAUACUCAUGAGAAAGGUCACUGUGUGGCAGACUAUUACACUGGCCUGUCUCUGUAUAUUUGCAAAGGGAAAAGGAAGGAGACGAGAAAAGCAUCAUGUGCUCCCUCAUGUGAGUCAGAGAGAGGAAUCAUAUAGGGAAAGCUGGAGGGAAGCCUGUGGUGGCCUCAGUUUCCCUGUGUGCCUUGUAGGAGGUCUGGAAGCUGAGGGGGAGGGGGAGGCCCAGUUCUUUUCAGUGGCCUGCCCUGGACCUCACCUCGCAGACAGAGCCCACAUGCACGGCUGUUCAGACAGGCUGGCUCGCAGCGAGGCGGUGUGUUUAGUGUUCACUGGGGAUCUGUCUAAACACUGGGAUAACCCGUCAGAGCCAGGAAUGAAUCCACUCCACUCAGCGCCAGCCAGACCCAAACUCUGGUCCUGGGGCCAGUUCUGGGCUCCGCCCUGUGUAGAAGCCAAGUACAUCCCAGGGGAUCGAGGGCUGGAAAAUGUGACCUGAGUGGAAACGUUGGAGGCCGAGGCAGGGAGGCCCCCUAGAAGGGGGCUGCAGGCAGCCAGGUGUGAAGUGAUCUGGCUUGGGAGUGCAGUUGGAAGGAUGUCGAGGAUGGGCCGGGUACAAGCAAGGGAGAAGAGAAAUUGGCAGCUUCUAGCUGUGGAGCAGCUGUCAGGGCUGAGCCAAAGAUGACUGCAAGUUUGUAGGCCCCAGGGGCCUCAGAGGAUAAUGGUGCCAUUGAUGCUGACAGGGAGGUUAAGAAGAGGUAACAGCUUAGGGGGGCUCCACUUCUGACAUGAAGCUUUGGGGAUUUGUGGGACAGCCACGUGGAGAUGUUCUGUACAUACCACGUGUCAGAAAGCACGGAAGAUGAGAAGCUAGAGCUGGGGAGUCAGGACAGUGGGAAGGACCCUAAGCUGGGCUCCAGGAAACCUCACUUCUAGACACAGGCUUUGUGACUAGUUUGUGGUGCACCCCAGGGCAAAAUGUACCCUCAAUGCCUCACCUGUUAAGCCAAGGGGUUGGACUCACUGAACUCUAAAGGCCUCUCUGCCUCUGAUCUUGUAGGAAUGUCUCUAGGAUUCUGUGCGGUCACUUUGGUAGGGUGGUGCAGGGCAUCAUAAUAAUAGUUAGAAUUGAUGUUUCUGUCGUGUUUUAAGGUUUCCAAAGCACCAUUCAUUUUAUUCUUACAAUAA